RNAcentral lists this ribosomal RNA (526 nucleotides) under uncultured bacterium. RNAcentral describes it as "bacterial SSU rRNA". It matches the Rfam family "Bacterial small subunit ribosomal RNA", at positions 777 to 1304 of the family's 1533-position model. The record is from RNAcentral.
AAUAGAUACCCCGGUAGUCCAUGCCGUAAACGAUGUCUACUAGCCGUUGGGGCCCUUGAGGCUUUAGUGGCGCAGCUAACGCGAUAAGUAGACCGCCUGGGGAGUACGGUCGCAAGACUAAAACUCAAAUGAAUUGACGGGGGCCCGCACAAGCGGUGGAGCAUGUGGUUUAAUUCGAUGCAACGCGAAGAACCUUACCUGGCCUUGACAUACAGAGAACUUUCCAGAGAUGGAUUGGUGCCUUCGGGAACUCUGAUACAGGUGCUGCAUGGCUGUCGUCAGCUCGUGUCGUGAGAUGUUGGGUUAAGUCCCGCAACGAGCGCAACCCUUUUCCUAUUUGCCAGCACUUCGGGUGGGAACUUUAAGGAUACUGCCAGUGACAAACUGGAGGAAGGCGGGGACGACGUCAAGUCAUCAUGGCCCUUAACGGCCAGGGCUACACACGUGCUACAAUGGUCGGUACAAAGGGUUGCUACUGCGCGAGCAGAUGCUAAUCUCAAAAAGCCGAUCGUAUCCGGAUCGCAGU